Long non-coding RNA from Tympanuchus pallidicinctus (lesser prairie-chicken), 302 nucleotides. RefSeq lists it as uncharacterized. The transcript is spliced from 4 exons. NCBI's taxonomy places the organism in Eukaryota, Metazoa, Chordata, Aves, Galliformes, Phasianidae. The record is from RefSeq and is a predicted model, not a curated record.
UGGGUUGUGUUGGAAGGGUCCUUACAGACCACAGAGGCAUGGAAUGGUUGUGCUGUAUUGUGUUGGGUUGCAUUGGAAGGGUCCUUGCAGACCACAGAGUCAUGGGAUGGUUGUGCUGUAUUGGGUUGCAUUGGAAGGGUCCUUACAGACCACAGAGGCGUGGAAUGGUUGUGCUGUAUUGGGUUGGGUUGCAUUGGAAGGGUCCUUGCAGACCACAGAGGCAUGGAAUGGUUGUGCUGUAUUGGGUUGGGUUGCAUUGGAAGGGUCCUUGCAGACCACAGAGCCAUGGGAUGGUGGUGCUG